This 473-nucleotide ribosomal RNA is filed under the name uncultured organism. RNAcentral describes it as "partial 16S ribosomal RNA". It matches the Rfam family "Bacterial small subunit ribosomal RNA", at positions 332 to 797 of the family's 1533-position model. The record is from RNAcentral.
UACACUCCUACGGGAGGCAGCAGUGGGGAAUAUUGCACAAUGGGCGCAAGCCUGAUGCAGCCAUGCCGCGUGUGUGAAGAAGGCCUUCGGGUUGUAAAGCACUUUCAGCGGGGAGGAAGGCGAUACGGUUAAUAACCGUGUUGAUUGACGUUACCCGCAGAAGAAGCACCGGCUAACUCCGUGCCAGCAGCCGCGGUAAUACGGAGGGUGCAAGCGUUAAUCGGAAUUACUGGGCGUAAAGCGCACGCAGGCGGUCUGUCAAGUCGGAUGUGAAAUCCCCGGGCUCAACCUGGGAACUGCAUUCGAAACUGGCAGGCUUGAGUCUUGUAGAGGGGGGUAGAAUUCCAGGUGUAGCGGUGAAAUGCGUAGAGAUCUGGAGGAAUACCGGUGGCGAAGGCGGCCCCCUGGACAAAGACUGACGCUCAGGUGCGAAAGCGUGGGGAGCAAACAGGAUUAGAAACCCGGGUAGUCCC